Molecule: ribosomal RNA, 920 nt
Filed under: uncultured bacterium
Lineage: Bacteria
Description: bacterial SSU rRNA
Rfam family: Bacterial small subunit ribosomal RNA
Source: RNAcentral
GUUUGAUCCUGGCUCAGAUUGAACGCUGGCGGCAUGCCUUACACAUGCAAGUCGAACGGCAGCACGGAGCUUGCUCUGGUGGCGAGUGGCGAACGGGUGAGUAAUAUAUCGGAACGUACCCUGGAGUGGGGGAUAACGUAGCGAAAGUUACGCUAAUACCGCAUACGAUCUAAGGAUGAAAGUGGGGGAUUCGCAAGAACCUCAUGCUCCUGGAGCGGCCGAUAUCUGAUUAGCUAGUUGGUAGGGUAAAAGCCUACCAAGGCAUCGAUCAGUAGCUGGUCUGAGAGGACGACCAGCCACACUGGAACUGAGACACGGUCCAGACUCCUACGGGAGGCAGCAGUGGGGAAUUUUGGACAAUGGGGGCAACCCUGAUCCAGCAAUGCCGCGUGAGUGAAGAAGGCCUUCGGGUUGUAAAGCUCUUUUGUCAGGGAAGAAACGGUGUGAGCUAAUAUCUCAUGCUAAUGACGGUACCUGAAGAAUAAGCACCGGCUAACUACGUGCCAGCAGCCGCGGUAAUACGUAGGGUGCAAGCGUUAAUCGGAAUUACUGGGCGUAAAGCGUGCGCAGGCGGUUUUGUAAGACUGUCGUGAAAUCCCCGGGCUCAACCUGGGAAUGGCGAUGGUGACUGCAAGGCUAGAGUUUGGCAGAGGGGGGUAGAAUUCCACGUGUAGCAGUGAAAUGCGUAGAUAUGUGGAGGAACACCGAUGGCGAAGGCAGCCCCCUGGGUCAAAACUGACGCUCAUGCACGAAAGCGUGGGGAGCAAACAGGAUUAGAUACCCUGGUAGUCCACGCCCUAAACGAUGUCUACUAGUUGUCGGGUUUUAAUUAACUUGGUAACGCAGCUAACGCGUGAAGUAGACCGCCUGGGGAGUACGGUCGCAAGAUUAAAACUCAAGGAAUUGACGGGGACCCGCAC